CCCCCGCUCACCCGAAGUUCUACUUUCGAUCGCUCGAUCUCCUUGUUCUCGAGCCUCCUCUCGUUCUCCCCUCGGAUUGACGAUCUUCCGAGUGACCCCCAAGUCGUCGAACGCCGCUCUCUGUCGUUUGAGGUGGAUUCGUUCGGCCCUCUUCUCGAAUAUAGAGAACCCUAAUCUUGAUAUUUUGGUCUUGGUCUCUUUGUGGAUUUCCCUUGCUUUCGUCGGAGUUCUGCUCAGCUUUCCUUUGCUGAUAGGGGCCAGUUCAUUUGGUCGAGACGAGUUCGAGAUGCACCCUCGAACGGGUACGAGCCCCAAUUUCUACGAGCAGCAGCAGAGCCAGCAAUGGUUGAGGGGAAAUCAGAUGGGAGGCGAUUCUGGUGCUGCUGAAGUAGUGGAAUUUGUUCAAUCUGAGUAGAUCAAUCAGAAGCCACAAUUUGAAAGAGUUCCUUAUGGUGCCUGCCUGGUUGAUGGAUAUUUGCGUGCUCUUUGACUAUCUCAUUAAGCUUAUCGAGCAUGUCAGUUUGGAUUCGGUGUUGGUGAAGUUGUCAGAGGUAUUUAACACGCCAGAAGAAUAAAAAGCAGCGGCCUUUGUCAUGAGAUCUAUUGUUCUUCUUGGUCAUAGAUCGGGUAGGAUACUCUCGGGUUCCUGUCUUUGGGUUUGGCCUUCGAGAAGCCUUUGCAGCAAUCAGUGCGGAAAGGAUGACGGGUUUCCAAAAGAUAGCAGCAAGAAAGUUGAUCCUGGGCAUCUUGGAAUUUCUCCAGAAAGGGUCCAUAGAGACAAAGAAGCAUUUCCCUCAAAGGAUGCUGAAGAAAGAUUGGAUUUUGCAGAUAAUAAGUUUGAUUUUGGGGGAAAUAAUGAGGAAGAGUUGGAGUGUGGACGCCUCCCUGAGGAGACCCUUCUUGGUUUCUCAAUUGGUGGUACAGACACAGCAGAUGAUGAUGAUCAGAGCGAUCGCCGUGGCAACAUUAAUCCUCGACGGAGGUUUAUAGAGGGUAAUAAGGCUGAAGCUGACAGGGUGUUUGAGAUCUUACAACAGGAUGGGCCUGCUUUCAAUGUCCGGUCAGCACUAGAUGAGCUGCAUCUGCAUGUCUCCAAUGCAUUGGUGAGAGAAGUUCUUCUCCGCAUUCUUAUGUCUAUAAAUGGUGCCAACAGGUUGCGGUGUGCCAAAUUGGCCUAUAAGUUCUUUGUGUGGUCGGGUCAACAGAUGGACUACAGGCAUAACACUAACAGCUAUAAUCUUACCCUGAAAGUUUUUGCAGAAGCUAAGGAAUUGAAAGCCAUGUGGAGACUGAUGGAUGAGAUGAUCGAGAAGGCAUUGCCAAUCACUGCACGCACAUUUAUAAUAUUGAUUUGCACUUGUGGAGAGGCUGGCAUGGCCAGGAAGGUGGUCGAGAGGUUUAUAAAAUCCAAAAAUUUUAUCUACCGGCCUUUCAAGCACUCCUUCAAUGCAAUUCUCCAUUCUCUUCUAACUGUGAAUCAGUAUUGGUUGGUAGAGUGGGUUCAUCAAAAGAUGCUGCUCGAGGGGUACUCACCAGAUGUUUUGACCUAUAAUGUCGUCAUGCGUGCUAAAUACAUGCUAGGAAAGUUGGAUCAGUUCCAUAGAUUGCUUGAUGAGAUGGGGAAAAAUGGGUUUGCUCCCGACCUCCACACGUAUAAUCUCAUGCUCCAUGUGCUUGGGAAAAGUAAUAAACCACUUUCUGCACUUAAACUUUUAAACUAUAUGAAUGAUGUAGGCUGCCAUCCUAGUGUUCUUCAUUUUACCACUUUGAUUGAUGGGCUUAGUCGUGCGGAGAAUGUUGAUGCUUGCAAAUACUUUUAUGAUGAGAUGGUUAAGAAAGGGUGUGAACCAGAUGUAGUAUGUUAUACUGUGAUGAUAACUGGCUAUGUAAUUGCAGGAGAGUUUGACAAGGCACAGGAAAUAUUUCAAGAUAUGUUAAUCAGCGGGCAACUUCCAAAUGUUUUUACAUACAAUGCUAUUAUCCGUGGGUUUUGCAUUACUGGGAAGUUUGACGAGGCAUGUUCCAUGUUGAAGGAUAUGGAUACAAGGGGCUGCACUCCAAACUUCUCAGUAUACAGCAGUUUAGUUGCAAGAUUAAGAAAUGCAGGAAAGGUUUCUCAAGCAAAUGAUAUAAUCAACUAUAUGGUAGAGAAAGGUCACUAUCUUCAUUUAGUAUCAAGGUUCAAGGGUUACAGAAGACGUUAGCUGAAAUUGUAUGAAUGGCCAUUUGUGAACUGUGGAUACCAUUCUUUUUAGCUAAAUGGUGUUUGCAGGAGUUGAAGUAACAGAGACUAUUUACCUCAAACAUUUUAUGAGGAUUAGAUCCUCAAGCUUAUCUUGUUUCUCUUUUAUCUUUUGUAUCUUAGGCAGCAAAGAAAGAGAAAACGGUUCCAGUGGUUGUUCUUUUCGGAUCAUAACUUAUCAAGGAAGUACUUUUAGGUUAUUGAAGAUAUACUAGAUGUUCUGAAAUAGUGUCAUUAGAGGAGUACUUUUCCUCAGAAACUUAUAACACAAUUGGGACAAUGGAAGGAAGGAUAUGGCAAUUUGAAAGGAGAAUAACAGAAAAAUCAGAUCGUCCUUGAUGUAAUAAAAGAAAUCUGGAGAUUGUUGGUGUCGUUGACGACAAUGGCAUCCUUUGUUGCGAGCUGGGCGGAAACCACAUCUUUGCUACGUUGCUCUGUUGCAAGCUGGGCGAUGAUCCGGAGAUCGUCGGUGUCUGUCAUUGAUGAGAAAUAGGGAAGCAACGUUUUGCUAGAGUAUCCUACUGCAAGCUGGGCGAUGAUCUGGAGAUCGUCGGUGUCUGUCAUUGAUGAGAAAUAGGGAAGCAACGUUUGCUACAGUACUCUACUGCUAGCUGGGCGAUGAUCUGGAGAUCGUCGGUGUCUGUCAUUGAUGAGAAAUAGGGAAGCAACGUUUUGCUAGAGUAUCCUACUGCAAGCUGGGCGAUGAUCUGGAGAUCGUCGGUGUCUGUCAUGAUGAGAAAUAAGGAAGCAACGGUGCUACAGUACACUACUGCAAGCUGGGCGAUGAUCUGGAGAUCGUCGGUGUCUGUCAUUGAUGAGAAAUAGGGAAGCAACGUUUGCUACAGUACCCUACUGCAAGCUGGGCGGUGCCAUUUCCAGCCUUGUGUCGAUCUGGACGGGAGUUAGCAUGUUGUCGGUGUGGACGGCGAUCACCGUCGGCCGAGACUCCACUCUCGGAAUGGAAUCCACACAUUAGCGAGGUUGCAGAGAGAUCAUUCUGCAAGAACAGAGGUAGAGGAAGACACAGCACUAUCAUCAGUUAUUUCCUCAACGAGGAAGACAGAAUGGGAUAUGAAGAUCUUUAGGAAGUUCAAAUUAAAAUAUACUUAAAUCAUAUAUACAUAUAUAUAUACAUACAUAUGUAUGUAUGUAUGUAUUUGACUUCUUUACAAUGGGUUCGAGUCAAAUAACAUGAUUUGAAGUACUUUUUUUUA
Molecule: RNA transcript, 3456 nt
Organism: Musa acuminata AAA Group (dessert banana)
Lineage: Eukaryota; Viridiplantae; Streptophyta; Magnoliopsida; Zingiberales; Musaceae
Gene name: pentatricopeptide repeat-containing protein At1g55630-like
Exons: 4
Source: RefSeq, a predicted model, not a curated record